This 440-nucleotide ribosomal RNA is filed under the name uncultured bacterium. RNAcentral describes it as "partial 16S ribosomal RNA". It matches the Rfam family "Bacterial small subunit ribosomal RNA", at positions 338 to 795 of the family's 1533-position model. The record is from RNAcentral.
CCUACGGGAGGCAGCAGUGGGGAAUCUUGGACAAUGGGGGGAACCCUGAUCCAGCGACGCCGCGUGAGUGAAGAAGGAUUUCGGUAUGUAAAGCUCUAUCAGCAGGGAAGAAAAUGACGGUAACUAACUAAGAACCCCCUGCUAACUACGUGUCAGCAGCCGCGGUAAUACGUAGGGGGCAAGCGUUAUCCGGAUUUACUGGGUGUAAAGGGAGCGUAGACGGUGCGGCAAGUCUGAUGUGAAAGGUCGGGGCUCAACCGCGGGGGGGAAUUGGAAACUGUACAACUGGAGUACAGGAGAGGUAAGCGGAAUUCCUAGUGUAGCGGUGAAAUGCGUAGAUAUUAGGAGGAACACCAGUGGCGAAGGCGGCUUACUGGACUGUAACUGACGUUGAGGCUCGAAAGCGUGGGGAGCAAACAGGAUUAGAUACCCCUGUAGUC